RNAcentral lists this long non-coding RNA (391 nucleotides) under Canis lupus familiaris (dog). Its description in RNAcentral is "lncRNA (ENSCAFG00000057683.1, ENSCAFG00805025804.1, ENSCAFG00845027092.1)". The record is from RNAcentral. Lineage: Eukaryota; Metazoa; Chordata; Mammalia; Carnivora; Canidae.
CUGUCUGGCAGAGUGACUCCAGGGUAUCAGAUUAUUUAUCAUUUUUCCCCUUAUUUUCCCUAGGUUCUUCCAAUCCUCAGCUCCCACAGACUUCAUAUUUCUUCCUGAAAAAAGUACAAAAGCUCUAAUGCAUUUCAACUUGUCCAAAUGGGCCCUCAAUAUGGAAGAUGACUUCAGUCUCUCAAAUAGCAUGGAUCCUAAGAGGUAUAUAAUAUUGGGGAAAAUCCACAGGUGUGGAGGUCCAGAGCCUGAGAGUAUAGUCCUGCUUCCACCAUGAAGAAGGGUCUAUGGACAUUGAAGAAAAGUUUAGUAUCAGCACAAAAAGAGAGGGCGAAGAUCCAGUGGGAAUUGAGGAAGAACUUGUUCUCUCGUGGAAGCAGCAUGUGUGAGG